GGGACAUGGCAGUGUGCUGGUAGCAUCAGAUGCUAGGGGAGGAUCUAGACAUCGGCUUCUACGCAGAGGACGCGUACGCGGCGUACGUGACAGACCUUGCGACAUCUUUGCACCUCGUUCCGCACUUUCGCAGUGCCCGCGGUGCAACGCUGGAGGUGGUCUUUACCGGUCCCUUCCGGGACUUGUCUGCGUAUGAGGAGGCGGUCAAGCAGGGGAAGCUCGUCCCUUACGCCGAGUUGCCAUGGCCCGUCGCCGAGGAUCGGGGUGUUCAAGGGGUUUCCGGACCGACUCUUAGCGUCACCCUGCACGGCUGGAUCGAGAAGCUGAAUGCCGCUCGCAAAGUGCAACUGAUGGAGCCACUCUUUCCGGCUGCCGAGCUCGGCGCGACCAUCGCAGAGACACGUGUAAUGAGCGAUGCUGGCAACUCAGCACCGUGCGCGUUUGCCUCGACUUCGCCGCCAUGUGCGGCGGAGUCCGCAGGCACCUCAAACGAGAACGACACUCAUCCCCCACUUAAGCUGUCACGCUUCCGCAUUGCCGGCAGCCUGGAUUUCCUCCUGCACCUCUCCAGCCGCGACUUGCCCAUGGGCGAGAGCAGCGUCCCGGUCGACUCUCCAAGCGCGGAUGGACGUGAUCAAGCGAACCCCGAUUUCGCAGGCGACGCUGAAGACGCAACGCGCGCGGCUCACGAGUGUCGUGAUGCACUCGAGCAGCGCGAUGACGUUGCCCUAGCCCGUAACGCGGUGAACACGGUAAUCAAAAUUGCGCAGAUGGCGGAGGAGCACCCUGGUGAGGUAGGCAACGUCUUUGCCGAUGCGAAGGAGCGUGUCGAGUACAUCCAGUUUAGCGCACAAUAGCCCUCACUUGCUUGUACUUCUCUUUCUGUUCUUCCCACACAAGUGAGGUCGGUGCGUUGCGUCUUCUUUCAGCUACGGUGGUGGUGGUGGUGGUGUGGGCGGUUGCCUGUAUCAAGCGCGGGCGAGUGAGUUACGGCGCGUGCCGCACAUCGCCACCGUCACAUCUCGAGUACACCAGACAAUAAGCGGAGGGGGAAAACAGCACACAUGAAUCAUCGCCAACGGAGACGCCGUGCGCCUCUUGUUGGACGCCUUCGUUCAUUAUUAUCACUUUUUCGUCUGCAUCUGACCGCAAGGUUCCCCGGCGUUCCCUAAGGCGGCACCGCUACGGAGCUGUUUCUAGGUGAUGCCUGUCAGGUGGCCUACCAUCCGUCAGCGAUCCCGGUGGACUUUCAUUUGCAUCUGGAAGACUACUAAGGCAGCGGAGGGGGCGGAGGACUCGGCGACGCCAAACGCGUUAUGAAGAGAUGAAAGGCGUUGUCAGUCACGUAUCGCCUUUGCAAUGAAAGGCAUAUGCCAUCCUUGACAAACUCUUCUUCCACCGUCCCACCUCUCCUCCGUUUGCUCCCCCCUCUCCCCUUAUCGUCUUUGUGUGUGUCUUCGCCGCCUUCUCAUUGGCCCGUCUUCCUCUCGUGGUGUGUGUCCAUGCCCCUUGUCGAUCUACUCAUCGACACGCCGGGCGCUGCCGAGACACCUUACCUCCCUUCAUCCCACUCACACACCUUUUCCAUUUGUGGUUCGCCGCUCCUUGCCCUCCACCCCCCCGUUGCGCGUUCCUUUUAUAUAUAAUGCGCGUCGACUAG
RNAcentral lists this unclassified non-coding RNA (1660 nucleotides) under Leishmania donovani. RNAcentral describes it as "gene:LdHU3.36.5480(CDS-product:hypothetical_prote in_conserved)". The record is from RNAcentral. Lineage: Eukaryota; Euglenozoa; Kinetoplastea; Trypanosomatida; Trypanosomatidae.